Non-coding RNA from Styela clava, 1374 nucleotides. The record is from RefSeq and is a predicted model, not a curated record. Lineage: Eukaryota; Metazoa; Chordata; Ascidiacea; Stolidobranchia; Styelidae.
GAAGUGUGCGCAGUCUGCUUGAUUCAUUCCCCUUACGGGUUUUCAAAAAUGUCGCCGAGUAUUGUCUUGUAGUUGUUAUAUUGGUAGCAAUUGGAGAUAUUCUUCGUUUAUUCGGCAUAAGUAUCUUAAAGUUAAUGUCUAGCAAGCAUGGAAUGGAACCAACGCUUGAAAAUGUUCCUAAAUUUACAUUGGGAUCACUUCGACAUAUCGGAAAAAAAUAUUAUCAAGAUAUUUUUAGAAGUGCGGUAAUCGGACUUAAGGCACCAAAUUCCACAGUUUAUUAUCAAAAAACCUUGGAAAAACGCAGAAUUUUAGAUUUCAGUAACCCAGGACGCCCUCUUGUUCUCGUAUUUGGAUCAUGUACCUGACCCCCAUUUCUGAAAGGGGUUGAGCGUCUCCCUACUCUUAUGGAGGAAUAUCGUUCAAAAGUUGAUUUUGUUGUGAUAUACACUCAAGAAGCACAUGCGACGGACAGUCAUUGGCAUUUAAAAGACAUGAAGCACCACAUUUUCCUUCAUAAAAGUCUUCAUGAUCGUCAGUCUGCCGCAGAAAUUCUUAAAGACUACUUUUCGUGCCCUUUGGUGUUGGAUGGAAUAGAAAAUGAAGCAACGAAGCAUUAUGGUACGGAUCCGGAUCGAAUGGCAAUCAUCUACAACGGUUGCUUAGAAUAUAUCAGUGCAAAAGGACCUUUUGGGUUUAAAGUAGAAGAAAUGCUAAUUGCUUUAAAUCACAUAUUACAACGAAGUGAAUAAGAAUUUUUAUACCACUCAAGUUAUCAGUAUGGCCUUCAAUGUUGCAGUACCAAUGGGGCAUUCGCUAUUAUAAUGCUCAAUACCAUGUUUGUAUAUAUAGCAAGUAAGCUACCCCCUUAUUUUCGAACUACCAGUAAAAGACAUUUCAAUAGGUAUAUCAUCUAGAAAUCUUUGAAGGCCAGCAACGUUAAACAAGGCUGUCCUUUUGUCAAAAUCAUCAUGUUUUUUUUGUUCCAAAGUUAUUUGUAUUAUUGAUUUUUUUUGCUAUAUUAUAAAAAAUGUUAUUUAAAAUAUCAAACAUGUAAAGAAUUCAUGAAGGUACAUAAGAAAAUUGCGGAAAGCAAUCUUUAGUACCAGAUGGUUUAUUUCUAUGCAUGCCAACUGUUUUUAUAACAUUUCCAAGUACAUAUACACAACUCUCCUAAUGUGCAUAUUAAUAAAAUCAUGUUUUAUUUUUUUGUUCCAAAGUUAUUUGUAUUUUUUAUUUCUUUGCUACAUUAUGAAAAAUGUUAUUUAAAAUAUCAAACAUGUAAAGAAUUUAUGAAGGUACAUAAGAAAAUUGCGGUAAGCAACCUUUAGUACCAGAUAGUUUAUUUCUAAGCAAGCUAACUGUUUUUAUAAC